RNA transcript from Humulus lupulus (European hop), 4388 nucleotides. It is a transcript of the gene named pentatricopeptide repeat-containing protein At4g39530-like, with no coding region annotated. The transcript has 2 exons. NCBI's taxonomy places the organism in Eukaryota, Viridiplantae, Streptophyta, Magnoliopsida, Rosales, Cannabaceae. The record is from RefSeq and is a predicted model, not a curated record.
AGCUCUGGUCCCCCAAUACUUCUCAUCGCCCACAACUCAGCUCGCAGCGGCAGGAGUAGCAAAGACUCACUCUUCGUUGUAAAUUGGAGUGUUUUCAAGAUGUAGGGCGAGAGUUGAUUAUUUAGUUCUUUUCUUAGCCGAAAUUCUAUAUGGGUUUAUGAUUUUGAUGAUAAUUUUAAUUAAUUCGGAAGUGUAGUAUAUGACAUUGAGUCAUUGACCAAGAAAACUCAUACACAUAUUGAACUUUACUACCACUCUGCCACUGGCUAACGAAAUUUUAAGCUAUUCAAAACCUCUAGCUUGGUAUCUAUUUAUCCAAACUUUUCCCCAUAUACUCGUUGUAGGGAAUGAAAGUAGCUGUAUUUGAUGCAUUUGAUGCUCAAUAACUGUAAAAAAGAUGAAGCUUUGGGUUCAAGUUCAUGGAAUGCGAAUUUUUUGCUCUGAAAAUGAUUGGCCCUUGACCUGUUUUCAAGGGAUGUUGUUGCCUAUCUUCCACACCCGCAUUCCGACUCUUAAUUCACCUUCCCUUGUUUGGUUAAAAUCUUGGUCCAGUGCUGCACUUAGCCUGAUGGAAUCCAACACCAGAAAUGAAUUGGCUAAUGAAGCUCGAAGCUCACCGAGUCGGCCUCGUGAAGGGUUAAGCAGAGAACCUGGUAGGUUAACUGGAACAAGGCAUAGUUUAGAGAGAAUUGAGAAGAAGGUAAGAAAAAGACAUGCAAAACUUAUUAGCCAUGAGAGACUCAGAAGGUUUUCUAUGUUGCUGCGCACAUGUGCUUCAAAAGGAUCUUUGAGUCAUGGCAAAGCUAUUCAUGGGCAGGUGAUAAAAUGUGGGAUGGACCCGGAUUCUCAUGUGUGGGUUUCGUUGGUUAAUGUCUAUGCAAAAUGUGGGGAUAUGAUGUACGCGCGGCAAGUGCUUGCUGAAAUGCCAGAGCGUGAUGUUGUGUCUUGGACUGCUUUGAUGCAAGGGUUUGUAGCUGAAGGGUAUGGAAUUGAUGGUGUUCUUCUCUUAUCCGAGAUGAAGAAGGACGGCAUAAGACCAAAUGAGUUCACUUUGGCCACUUGUUUGAAAGCCUGCUCUCUUUGCUUGGAUCUAGAUUUCGGGAAACAGUUGCAUUCUGAAGCUGUUAAAGCUGGAUAUGUCUCGGAUUUGUUUGUAGGAUCCUCACUUGUUGACCUUUACGCAAAAUGUGGCGUAAUGGAACUUGCAGAUAGUGUGUUAUUUUGCAUGCCCGAGCAGAAUGCUAUAUCGUGGAACGCACUGCUUAGUGGAUACGCUGAGAAAGGAGAUUCGCAAGAGGUUUUGAAACUGUUCUGCAGAAUGAGGCAAUUAAAAAAUGUGUUGAACAAUUACAUUUUGUCUGCCGUUCUAAGGGGGUGUACGAAAGCGGGAAACUUAAGACAAGGCCAGGUCUUGCAUUCUCUGGUCUUAAAACUUGGGUGUGAACUUGAUGAAUUUCUGGGUUGCAGCCUUGUUGAUAUGUAUUCGAAAUGUGGGCUAGCAACAGAUGCCUUAAAUGUGUUCAUGAGGAUUAAAAAUCCUGACAUAGUAGCCUGUAGUGCAAUGAUUACUUGCCUUGGUCAGCAAAGGCAGUGGCAAGAAGCUGCUCAUCUAUUUCGUCUAAUGAGAUGUAUAGGCAUCCUGGGAAAUCAUUUUAGCUUCUCAAGUAUUCUUAGUUCUGCCACUGAUAUGGGAGACCUGCGGUAUGGUGAAAGCAUCCAUGCUUGUGUUUGGAAAUCUGCAUUUCAAUACGAUCUAACAGUCAGUAAUGCUCUGAUCACAAUGUAUGCUAAAAAUGGAUGUGUGCAAGAUGCCAUUCGGAUAUUUGAAGCUAUAAAAGAUUGUGACUUAGUUUCAUGGAAUGCUCUUUUAUCCGGAUUUCAUGAUUAUGAAAAUUGCAAUCUUGGACCAAUAAUUUUCCGCCAGAUGCUUGUUGAAGGUUUCAAGCCCAACAUGUACACAUUUAUCAGCAUCUUAAGGUCUUGUUCCAGCCUCUUGGAUGUAGGUCUAGGGAAACAGAUUCAUGCCCAUUCCAUCAAAAACAGUCUUCAUGACAAUGCUUUCAUUGGAACAACUCUCAUUGAUAUGUAUGGUAAAACUAGGUGCUUGGAAGAUGCAAAUUUAGCUUUUAGCAGACUUACUAAUAGAGACCUCUUAACUUGGACAACCAUUAUUACUGGCUAUGCACAAACUGGUCAAGCAGAAAAUGCUGUUAGUCUCUUCAAUCAGAUGAGAAGAGAAGGUGUAAGGCCAAAUGGAUUCACUCUUGCUAGCUGUUUAAGUUCUUGCGCACAUAUAGCCACCCUGGAACAUGGGUGGCAGCUCCACGCUUUGGCAUUCAAGGGUGGGCACACAGAAGAUUGUUUUGUUAGUAGUGCGCUAGUUGAUAUGUACGCAAAAUGUGGAUGCAUAGAUUAUGCUGAGACUGUCUUCGAAGGCCUGGUUUCACGGGAUACAGUCUCAUGGAACACCAUGAUAUGUGGAUAUUCCCAACAUGGGCAAGGAGGGAGAGGUCUUAAAGCGUAUAGGAAAAUGCUUGAUGAAGGUACCAUGCCAGACGAGACCACCUUUAUAGGUGUGUUUUCUGCUUGCAGCCACUUAGGUUUGGUUAUAGAAGGGCAAGAGCACUUUAACUCCAUGAUCAAAGAUUUUGACAUUAAUCCUACAAUUGAGCAUUAUGCUUGUAUGAUUGGUAUCCUUGGUCGGGCUGGAAGAUUCGAAGAGGUUGAAAGCCUCAUCGAGAACAUGAAAUUAGGUCCACAAGCCAUAAUUUGGGAGACUGUUCUUGGGGCUUGCAAGUUGCAUGGAAAUUUGGAGUAUGGAAAAAGAGCUGCAGAAAAGCUUUUUGAGCUCAGACCAGAAAUGGAUUCUACCUAUAUUUUGCUAUCUAAUAUUUUUGCUACCAAAGGUCUGUGGGAUGAUGUCAGAAAUGUCAGAAAGUUAAUGGGCGGUCAGGGGGUAAAGAAGAAACCUGGGAGUAGCUGGGUUGAGGUUAAUAGACAAGUUCACGUGUUUACCUCUCAAGAUGGUUCCCAUCCUAAAAUCAAAGAAAUCCAUUUGAAACUAGAGGAACUGGACAAGAAGAUGGAGUCGGUAGGUUAUAUACCACAAACAGAAAAUGUGCUUCAUAAGAUCACAGAAAAAGAGAAAAGGGAACAUCUUCAACAUCAUAGUGAAAGAUUGGCUCUCGCGUUUGCGCUGAUAUACAGUAAGCCUAUAAAAGCAAUUCGAAUUUUCAAAAAUCUACGCAUCUGUGGUGACUGCCACGAUGUUAUGAAGCUUGUCUCUAGUAUUACAAAUAGAGAAAUAGUUGUUCGUGACACUAAGAUAUUUCAUCAUUUUAAGUCUGGCUCUUGCUCUUGUAAGGAUUUUUGGUAAUCCUGCCCCAAGAUUGGUAGGCUCAUCCGAGGUCUAAAUUUUUUUGUAAAAUUAUAUAUUUGGAUUCAAAUUCUUCAUGCUAAAGAAACCUGGCACCAUUUUUUUAGAUGUACCUGUCAUUUUUCUCCCUCAAGUGAUGCUAUGCUUCAUGAACAAGCACACCUGUUACUGUGGCAGGCACAGGAGAAAAAGGAGAAGAAAAGAAUUCAGCUAAGCAGGUGGAUCUCCUUGUCAUGGGCAGCAACCUCUUGAUUAACAUAGUUCCAAGAGCCAUGAAAUUGUAAUGUCAAUGAACUGAAACAAGAGAAAACAUAGUUUUGCAGCAAGACUAUGGGCUUGCAUCAUGCUCCAUGAAGUUGUUAGCCAUAUGAGGACCUUUCUAGUUCUGGUACCACUGUGCAUGUAGGGACUUGGUAAUUGUAAAUCAUAUUAACUAUUUUCUGCUUCAUAAUUUAGCUUGUGGGAUUCUUAACAAUUCAUUCUUUCUAAUUUCAAAUUCGAAAAGCAUAGUACUUAUAGCUAGUGCCUCUGUUUAUAUGUUUCCCCAGCAGUCUAAGACUUGGACGAGGCUGCCCACAAAUCAUGGAAUUUCUCUCUCUCUCUCUCUCUGUUCAGUGCACGCACGCACAUAUAUAAACAUACUAUAUAUUUAUAUAGUGUAAAAAAGAUGAAAUGAGAUUGAGAUGCUCUGUUAUUUCUAUGAUUAGAUAUUUCAUUUUUACAGUUUAAAUGUCUACCAUAUAUAAGUUUUUAAGCUUCGUUUGAGUUUGUCUUUUUUUUUUAUUAAUAUUUUUUUAAAGUUUUUAAGCUCCAAAACUGCAUUUGUAACUAAAAGCAAUGUUUGUGCUUAUCAUGUAGUUGGAUAAAGUUAAUCCACACUUAGCAGAUAUUGGUUUGGCAGAACACAAGAGUGAUUCAAAACAAAGUUUCUGUUGAGAAUUUGAGAGCAUCUGGAAAGCCCAGUAUUAUUAGGACAUCAGUUUACAAGACCACUGGUGGUUUCUCUUGGACG